RNAcentral lists this long non-coding RNA (362 nucleotides) under Monodelphis domestica (gray short-tailed opossum). Its description in RNAcentral is "lncRNA (ENSMODG00000044950.1)". The record is from RNAcentral. Lineage: Eukaryota; Metazoa; Chordata; Mammalia; Didelphimorphia; Didelphidae.
UCCUAUUCCCCAAGUUAUAGUUGAGAAAACUUGACACUCAGAGAUGCUAAUUGAUUUGUUUAAGGCCACUCAGCUAACAAUAACAACGGCAACAGAGCAGUAUUUUAAGAUGUUUAAUAAUAGUUUCAUCUGUGAUCUAUGUGGUUCUCAAACCCCUGUACAACUCAACAACUGAGGGAUGUAAUGAAAGGAAGUCCGCCUUCCCAUCAGUGAAUGCUCUCCGUAUGAUUUCUGCUCACUGGGGGCACCUGAGGCAUGAAACAUCAGCAGGAGAAAGGCACAGAUUUGCCAGAAAGGAAUCACUUGGCUGUCUCUCUAGUUUGUUGUUCCCCACAGAAGAGUCCUUAAUUCAGUGUGGGUGA